CCUACGGGAGGCAGCAGUGAGGAAUAUUGGUCAAUGGACGCAAGUCUGAACCAGCCAAGCCGCGUGCAGGAAGACUGCUCUAUGAGUUGUAAACUGCUUUUGUACGAGGGUAAACGCAGAUACGCGUAUCUGUCUGAAAGUCUCGUACGAAUAAGGAUAGGCUAACUCCGUGCCAGCAGCCGCGGUAAUACUGAGGAUUCAAGCGUUAUCCGGAUUUAUUGGGUUUAAAGGGAGCGUAGGCGGUCGGAUAAGUUAGUGGUGAAAUUCCGAGGCUCAACUUCGGAAUUGCAUUUGAUACUGGUCGGCUAGAGUGUAGUUGCGGUAGGCGGAAUGUGUGGUGUAGCGGUGAAAUGCUUAGAUAUCAUGCAGAACACCGAUUGCGAGGGCAGCGUACCAAGCUACUUCUGACGUUGAUGCACGAAAGCGUGGGAAGCAAACAGGAUUAGAUACCCCUGUAGUC
This 460-nucleotide ribosomal RNA is filed under the name uncultured bacterium. RNAcentral's name for it is "partial 16S ribosomal RNA". It matches the Rfam family "Bacterial small subunit ribosomal RNA", at positions 338 to 795 of the family's 1533-position model. The record is from RNAcentral.